AACGCGAAGAACCUUACCUGGGUUUGACAUGCACAGGACGACUGCAGAGAUGUGGUUUCCCUUGUGGCCUGUGUGCAGGUGGUGCAUGGCUGUCGUCAGCUCGUGUCGUGAGAUGUUGGGUUAAGUCCCGCAACGAGCGCAACCCUUGUCUCAUGUUGCCAGCGCGUUAUGGCGGGGACUCGUGAGAGACUGCCGGGGUCAACUCGGAGGAAGGUGGGGAUGACGUCAAGUCAUCAUGCCCCUUAUGUCCAGGGCUUCACACAUGCUACAAUGGCCGGUACAAAGGGCUGCGAUGCCGUGAGGUUUAGCGAAUCCUUUAAAGCCGGUCUCAGUUCGGAUCGGGGUCUGCAACUCGACCCCGUGAAGUCGGAGUCGCUAGUAAUCGCAGAUCAGCAAUGCUGCGGUGAAUACGUUCCCGGGUCUUGUACACACCG
RNAcentral lists this ribosomal RNA (434 nucleotides) under uncultured bacterium. Its description in RNAcentral is "bacterial SSU rRNA". It matches the Rfam family "Bacterial small subunit ribosomal RNA", at positions 958 to 1392 of the family's 1533-position model. The record is from RNAcentral.